Chiloscyllium plagiosum (whitespotted bambooshark) is the source of this 1205-nucleotide non-coding RNA. The record is from RefSeq and is a predicted model, not a curated record. Lineage: Eukaryota; Metazoa; Chordata; Chondrichthyes; Orectolobiformes; Hemiscylliidae.
UGAGCUGGGGGAUGACUUUGAUGCAUGCUGUCCUCCCCCCUCAGACAUAUUUCCCUUCCCCUUCUCUGGGGGAACCAACAGCUACUCAUCGCCUCCUCAUCCCUGAAACCACUCUGGGAAACUCACCCCGCCAUCACCCCACCUCUCUCUCUCUCCUCGUUAUCUUUCACCUCCUUCCUCACAUCUGGUUCACAAAACUGGAUGCAGUACUCCAUUUGAGGUGGAACUAGAAUUUUAUUAAAAGGUUGAUAUUUUAACUUCCUUACUGCUACACUUGAUGUCUCUAUCAAAUAUGGAGCAGAACAGAUUAUGUGCAGAAAGUCAGGGCAGUGAGAGAGGUUUACUGCUGAUACUAAUUCUGAGUGUGUGGAAUUUGUAUAACCGACUCAGUCCAAUCCAAAGAUUUCUGCUCUUCACAGUGCCCAGUGGCCAGUCUCCCUCUAUUUAUACCCCACCGCCUCUCACUAACCCUCUCUGAACCAGGAUCUACUCCAGCUGCCUGGGAAUGCCGAGGAGGCAGAACGUGCAAACACUGAAACAGUUAUGUCUGUGUAACGUGGCAGCGAACAUGAAGGAAGUGUGGGCCAAAGAUUACACAGAUAACUAUCUGACCCAGUAUGAUUUCCUCUACAUCAUUGGGCCAUUCAAUGACCUUGCGUCGAGUCUGGUUCAGGAUCUGCUGCGGUUACUGGGUGAGACACACCGUCUGAGCCGAGCCUACCUGCACCUUCUCUUGGUGCCGCACCUGGUUGAGCUGAAUCUGAGGAGCUGUUCUGGGUUGGUCAGUAACGCCAUUGGCCAAAUCAUUCAUGCUCGCUGCCAGGUACCACAAAGUCUGUGAUGAUUCAUGUCACGGCAAUAACCCAUCCUCUCAGAUAGAUUCAGUCUUAAACCUCUCCCCCAGGUACCCAUUUAUCUCGAAGUACACACACACACUACCUGAAUACAAGAGCAGGGUGUUUCCAGGGAAUUGGUGAGACCACGUCUGGAGUACUGUGUACAGCUCUGUGCCACCUGGCACAUCACAGGUUGGUUAGCAAGUUAGAAAUGUUUCGGAUUAAUGGAUCCACAUUCAAUAUGUGGGAGGCUUUUAAAGAGAGGUCGAUUCGAGUUCAGGAGAGAUAUGUUCCUGUGAAAAUGAGGGAUAGAAAUGGCAAGAUUAGGGAACCAUAGAUGGCAGGUGAAGUUCUGAGACUAGCUAAGAA